AUGGUGAGAGGUUUUUAUUGGGGGUCUGAGAAGGGCAAAAGAAAAGUGCAUUGGCGAGCUUGGAAUGAUCUGUUACAACCAAAAAAUAAAGGUGGUGCUGGCUUCCGUGAUUUCCGUAUUUUUAACCAAGCUUUGUUAGCUAGGCAAUCUUGGAGAUUAAUCUUGAAACCCGACAGUCUAUGUGCACAAGUCUUAAAGGCUAGAUACUACCCCAAGGGUAAGCUUGAGGACACUGUGUUUUCUGUUAAUGCUUCCUCGUCUUGGCAGGCUAUUAGCUAUGGUCUUGAUCUUCUGAAGAAGGGACUUAUCUGGAGAGUGGGAGACGGUAGGAGUAUUCGGGUUUGGCAUGAUAAUUGGAUCCCG
RNAcentral lists this ribosomal RNA (363 nucleotides) under Triticum aestivum (bread wheat). RNAcentral describes it as "partial small subunit ribosomal RNA". Lineage: Eukaryota; Viridiplantae; Streptophyta; Magnoliopsida; Poales; Poaceae. The record is from RNAcentral.